GGCGGCCAAGGGGGAAACCUGAGCGCACGCCGCGUGGAGGAUGAAGGCCUUAGGAUUGUAAACUCCUCCUGUUAGAGAAGAUAAUGACGGUAUCUAACGAAUAAGCACCGGCUAACUCCGUGCCAGCAGCCGCGGUAAUACGGAGGGUGCAAGCGUUACUCGGAAUCACUGGGCGUAAAGAGCGCGUAGGCGGGAUAGUCAGUCAGGUGUGAAAUCCUAUGGCUUAACCAUAGAACUGCAUUUGAAACUACUAUUCUAGAGUGUGGGAGAGGUAGGUAGAAUUCUUGGUGUAGGGGUAAAAUCCGUAGAGAUCAAGAGGAAUACUGGGGGGGAAGGCGACCUGCUGGAACAUUACUGACGCUGAUUGCGCGAAAG
This 375-nucleotide ribosomal RNA is filed under the name uncultured bacterium. RNAcentral's name for it is "bacterial SSU rRNA". It matches the Rfam family "Bacterial small subunit ribosomal RNA", at positions 359 to 759 of the family's 1533-position model. The record is from RNAcentral.